GACGUAGGUGGCGAGCGUUAUCCGGAAUUAUUGGGCGUAAAGGGUGCGUAGGUGGUCUGAUAAGUUAGCAGUGGUAAAUCGAGGCUCAACCUCGUGGAAACUGGUAAUACUGUCAGGCUUGAGUGCAGGAGAGGUUAACGGAACUCCCUGUGGAGCGGUAAAAUGUGUAGAUAUAGGGAAGAACAUCAAUAACGGCGAAGGCAGUUAACUAUUCUGCUACUGACAUUGAGGCACGAAAGCGUGGGGAGCAAAAAGG
This 256-nucleotide ribosomal RNA is filed under the name uncultured bacterium. RNAcentral describes it as "partial 16S ribosomal RNA". It matches the Rfam family "Bacterial small subunit ribosomal RNA", at positions 524 to 776 of the family's 1533-position model. The record is from RNAcentral.